GACGAACGCUGGCGGCGUGCCUAAUACAUGCAAGUCGAGCGGAACUGGGGGAGCUUGCUCCUUCCAGUUUAGCGGCGGACGGGUGAGUAACACGUGGGCAACCUGCCCUGCAGAUCGGGAUAACUCCGGGAAACCGGUGCUAAUACCGAAUAGUUUGGCGCCUCUCCUGAGGCGCUACGGAAAGACGGUAUCGGCUGUCACUGCAGGAUGGGCCCGCGGCGCAUUAGCUAGUUGGUGGGGUAACGGCCCACCAAGGCGACGACGCGUAGCCGACCUGAGAGGGUGACCGGCCACACUGGGACUGGGAAACGGCCCAGACUCCUACGGGAGGCAGCAGUAGGGAAUCUUCCGCAAUGGACGCAAGUCUGACGGAGCAACGCCGCGUGAGUGACGAAGGUUUUCGGAUCGUAAAACUCUGUUGUGAGGGAAGAACACGUACCAACUAACUAUUGGUACCUUGACGGUACCUCGCCAGAAAGCCACGGCUAACUACGUGCCAGCCGCCGCGGUAA
Molecule: ribosomal RNA, 512 nt
Filed under: uncultured bacterium
Lineage: Bacteria
Description: partial 16S ribosomal RNA
Rfam family: Bacterial small subunit ribosomal RNA
Source: RNAcentral